ACUAACAUUUCAGGUCGGACAUAGCCAUCCAACUCUGUUGCAGAGCAACGCCCCUCAAGUAUCAGAGCAACCUGGAGAUAAUAGGAAAUAAUCAAAUAUCCAGGCAAGGUGGAUAAGCUCGGACGCAGUAUGUCAUCCAGCUCGAAGACAAGGUGAACUGAGAUACCCAGGUUGGCAUGGUCGCCCUUAGUCCAUUUGACUGUCGAAAGAACGACUGAUCAAACACCGCUAAUAAGACCGUCAAUGGUUUCGCUGGUCGGAGUAGCAGAACUGAAAGGAGCUCGACAUAUCCAACGACCCCAACAUUAGAUUACUCGUUGAGGUCGGAUCUAUGCUCGAGCUUAGAUAUGAUCGAGGACGGAGCCGUGUCUGAGAUCGGCCUCGCAUUUUGGGUCGGAUAAAAAUG
RNAcentral lists this long non-coding RNA (406 nucleotides) under Manihot esculenta (cassava). Its description in RNAcentral is "long non-coding RNA (MESC_LNC001616)". Lineage: Eukaryota; Viridiplantae; Streptophyta; Magnoliopsida; Malpighiales; Euphorbiaceae. The record is from RNAcentral.